This 281-nucleotide long non-coding RNA is filed under the name Carica papaya (papaya). RNAcentral's name for it is "long non-coding RNA (CPAP_LNC006442)". The record is from RNAcentral. Lineage: Eukaryota; Viridiplantae; Streptophyta; Magnoliopsida; Brassicales; Caricaceae.
AGUUUUUGAAUGCAUGAUAAUAUACUGAAAUUGGUAUGAUGAUGCGAUUGUAUUCCUUUGAUGCAUGUUUUGCUUGUUUUAUGUGAUUACGGUUGAAUUGGGAAACUGGGAAUUAAAGGUAGACGGAUAUUUGUUUGAUUAAGUGGAUAGAUGAAACGAUAAUCUUAUUGGAUAUCCUGUGAGAUGGUAGACGGAUUGGGUACAUAGGGAACCAUACCGUGAACGUUGCCUCAUACUGGACGGGGUAUGAGGAUAGCCUGUUUCACCUUCAUAUUGGACGG